GCGAAAACUUUGCAAUGCGGGAAACCGUGACAAGGGAACUCUGAGUGCCCGUUAAAUCGGGCUGUCCAUCGGUUUAAACAACCGGUGAAGAAAGGGCCGGGCAAGACCGGUGCCAGCCGCCGCGGUAAUACCGGCGGCUCGAGUGGUGGCCACUAUUACUGGGCUUAAAGCGUUCGUAGCUGGUUUGUUAAGUCUCUGGGGAAAUCUUCCGGCUCAACCGGAAGGCGUCUCAGGGAUACUGGCAGACUAGGGACCGGGAGAGGUGAGAGGUACUCCAGGGGUAGGAGUGAAAUCCUGUAAUCCUUGGGGGACCACCUGUGGCGAAGGCGUCUCACCAGAACGGCUCCGACAGUGAGGGACGAAAGCUGGGGGAGCAAACCGGAUUAGAUACCCGGGUAGUCCCAGCUGUAAACGAUGCGCGUUAGGUGUAUCGGUGACCACGAGUCACCGAGGUGCCGAAGAGAAAUCGUGAAACGUGCCGCCUGGGAAGUACGGUCGCAAGGCUGAAACUUAAAGGAAUUGGCGGGGGAGCAC
RNAcentral lists this ribosomal RNA (534 nucleotides) under uncultured archaeon. Its description in RNAcentral is "bacterial SSU rRNA". It matches the Rfam family "Archaeal small subunit ribosomal RNA", at positions 341 to 879 of the family's 1478-position model. The record is from RNAcentral.